GGGUUGUGAGGUUAAGCGACUAAGCGUACACGGUGGAUGCCCUGGCAGUCAGAGGCGAUGAAGGACGUGCUAAUCUGCGAUAAGCGUCGGUAAGGUGAUAUGAACCGUUAUAACCGGCGAUUUCCGAAUGGGGAAACCCAGUGUGUUUCGACACACUAUCAUUAACUGAAUCCAUAGGUUAAUGAGGCGAACCGGGGGAACUGAAACAUCUAAGUACCCCGAGGAAAAGAAAUCAACCGAGAUUCCCCCAGUAGCGGCGAGCGAACGGGGAGCAGCCCAGAGCCUGAAUCAGUGUGUGUGUUAGUGGAAGCGUCUGGAAAGGCGCGCGAUACAGGGUGACAGCCCCGUACACAAAAAUGCACAUAUUGUGAGCUCGAUGAGUAGGGCGGGACACGUGGUAUCCUGUCUGAAUAUGGGGGGACCAUCCUCCAAGGCUAAAUACUCCUGACUGACCGAUAGUGAACCAGUACCGUGAGGGAAAGGCGAAAAGAACCCCGGCGAGGGGAGUGAAAAAGAACCUGAAACCGUGUACGUACAAGCAGUGGGAGCCUCUUUUAUGGGGUGACUGCGUACCUUUUGUAUAAUGGGUCAGCGACUUAUAUUCUGUAGCAAGGUUAACCGAAUAGGGGAGCCGAAGGGAAACCGAGUCUUAACUGGGCGUUAAGUUGCAGGGUAUAGACCCGAAACCCGGUGAUCUAGCCAUGGGCAGGUUGAAGGUUGGGUAACACUAACUGGAGGACCGAACCGACUAAUGUUGAAAAAUUAGCGGAUGACUUGUGGCUGGGGGUGAAAGGCCAAUCAAACCGGGAGAUAGCUGGUUCUCCCCGAAAGCUAUUUAGGUAGCGCCUCGUGAACUCAUCUCCGGGGGUAGAGCACUGUUUCGGCAAGGGGGUCAUCCCGACUUACCAACCCGAUGCAAACUGCGAAUACCGGAGAAUGUUAUCACGGGAGACACACGGCGGGUGCUAACGUCCGUCGUGAAGAGGGAAACAACCCAGACCGCCAGCUAAGGUCCCAAAGUCAUGGUUAAGUGGGAAACGAUGUGGGAAGGCCCAGACAGCCAGGAUGUUGGCUUAGAAGCAGCCAUCAUUUAAAGAAAGCGUAAUAGCUCACUGGUCGAGUCGGCCUGCGCGGAAGAUGUAACGGGGCUAAACCAUGCACCGAAGCUGCGGCAGCGACACUAUGUGUUGUUGGGUAGGGGAGCGUUCUGUAAGCCUGUGAAGGUGUACUGUGAGGUAUGCUGGAGGUAUCAGAAGUGCGAAUGCUGACAUAAGUAACGAUAAAGCGGGUGAAAAGCCCGCUCGCCGGAAGACCAAGGGUUCCUGUCCAACGUUAAUCGGGGCAGGGUGAGUCGACCCCUAAGGCGAGGCCGAAAGGCGUAGUCGAUGGGAAACAGGUUAAUAUUCCUGUACUUGGUGUUACUGCGAAGGGGGGACGGAGAAGGCUAUGUUGGCCGGGCGACGGUUGUCCCGGUUUAAGCGUGUAGGCUGGUUUUCCAGGCAAAUCCGGAAAAUCAAGGCUGAGGCGUGAUGACGAGGCACUACGGUGCUGAAGCAACAAAUGCCCUGCUUCCAGGAAAAGCCUCUAAGCAUCAGGUAACAUCAAAUCGUACCCCAAACCGACACAGGUGGUCAGGUAGAGAAUACCAAGGCGCUUGAGAGAACUCGGGUGAAGGAACUAGGCAAAAUGGUGCCGUAACUUCGGGAGAAGGCACGCUGAUAUGUAGGUGAAGUCCCUCGCGGAUGGAGCUGAAAUCAGUCGAAGAUACCAGCUGGCUGCAACUGUUUAUUAAAAACACAGCACUGUGCAAACACGAAAGUGGACGUAUACGGUGUGACGCCUGCCCGGUGCCGGAAGGUUAAUUGAUGGGGUUAGCGCAAGCGAAGCUCUUGAUCGAAGCCCCGGUAAACGGCGGCCGUAACUAUAACGGUCCUAAGGUAGCGAAAUUCCUUGUCGGGUAAGUUCCGACCUGCACGAAUGGCGUAAUGAUGGCCAGGCUGUCUCCACCCGAGACUCAGUGAAAUUGAACUCGCUGUGAAGAUGCAGUGUACCCGCGGCAAGACGGAAAGACCCCGUGAACCUUUACUAUAGCUUGACACUGAACAUUGAGCCUUGAUGUGUAGGAUAGGUGGGAGGCUUAGAAGUGUGGACGCCAGUCUGCAUGGAGCCGACCUUGAAAUACCACCCUUUAAUGUUUGAUGUUCUAACGUUGACCCGUGAUCCGGGUUGCGGACAGUGUCUGGUGGGUAGUUUGACUGGGGCGGUCUCCUCCUAAAGAGUAACGGAGGAGCACGAAGGUUGGCUAAUCCUGGUCGGACAUCAGGAGGUUAGUGCAAUGGCAUAAGCCAGCUUGACUGCGAGCGUGACGGCGCGAGCAGGUGCGAAAGCAGGUCAUAGUGAUCCGGUGGUUCUGAAUGGAAGGGCCAUCGCUCAACGGAUAAAAGGUACUCCGGGGAUAACAGGCUGAUACCGCCCAAGAGUUCAUAUCGACGGCGGUGUUUGGCACCUCGAUGUCGGCUCAUCACAUCCUGGGGCUGAAGUAGGUCCCAAGGGUAUGGCUGUUCGCCAUUUAAAGUGGUACGCGAGCUGGGUUUAGAACGUCGUGAGACAGUUCGGUCCCUAUCUGCCGUGGGCGCUGGAGAACUGAGGGGGGCUGCUCCUAGUACGAGAGGACCGGAGUGGACGCAUCACUGGUGUUCGGGUUGUCAUGCCAAUGGCACUGCCCGGUAGCUAAAUGCGGAAGAGAUAAGUGCUGAAAGCAUCUAAGCACGAAACUUGCCCCGAGAUGAGUUCUCCCUGACCCUUUAAGGGUCCUGAAGGAACGUUGAAGACGACGACGUUGAUAGGCCGGGUGUGUAAGCGCAGCGAUGCGUUGAGCUAACCGGUACUAAUGAACCGUGAGGCUUAACCUUACAACGCCGAAGCUGUU
Molecule: ribosomal RNA, 2929 nt
Filed under: Escherichia coli
Lineage: Bacteria; Pseudomonadati; Pseudomonadota; Gammaproteobacteria; Enterobacterales; Enterobacteriaceae
Description: 23S ribosomal RNA
Rfam family: Bacterial large subunit ribosomal RNA
Source: RNAcentral